This 108-nucleotide small nuclear RNA is filed under the name Stegodyphus mimosarum. The record is from RNAcentral. Lineage: Eukaryota; Metazoa; Arthropoda; Arachnida; Araneae; Eresidae.
GACUGACUCUGCAAUUCACAUAUUAAAAUUGGAACGAUACAGAGAAGUUUAGUAUGGGCGUCUGACUUAAGGAAACAAAACAUUCUUUCAGAAAUGUAAUAGAUUUCU